This is a non-coding RNA of Paramuricea clavata, 204 nucleotides long. The record is from the annotation of a GenBank genome assembly. NCBI's taxonomy places the organism in Eukaryota, Metazoa, Cnidaria, Anthozoa, Malacalcyonacea, Plexauridae.
AAUAGACCUUACCGAUUAUUCUCUUUUACCCAAUGGCCUCGUUUCCAUGUUGACUUAUUUUAGCAUAUCAGGGGCAGAUAAAGAUUAUAUUCCCAUGUUUUCCUGGACGAAUUUGUUUCUUGCUGUUCUUAAGCUCAACAACAAAGUAAUUUUCAACCCUACUAAGCACAAAACAUGAGUAAGUAUUUGACAUGAAAACGAGGC